Molecule: long non-coding RNA, 536 nt
Organism: Ictalurus punctatus (channel catfish)
Lineage: Eukaryota; Metazoa; Chordata; Actinopteri; Siluriformes; Ictaluridae
Source: Ensembl
CACAGGAGAUGGUGUUCAUGAGUAAACACAGGAGAUGGUGUUGAUGUUGAUAAAACACAGGAGAUGGUGUUGAUGUUGAGUAAACACAGGACAUGGUGUUCAUGAGUAAACACAGGAGAUGGUGUUGAUUGAUAAACACAGGAGAUGGUGUUGAUGAGUAAACACAGGAGAUGGUGUUGAUGAGUAAACACAGGAGAUGGUGUUGAUGAUGAGUAAACACAGGAGAUGGUGUUGAUGGUGAGUAAACACAGGAGAUGGUGUUGAUGGUGAGUAAACACAGGAGUUGGUGUUGAUGGUGAGUAAACACAGGAGAUGGUGUUUGAUGAUUAAACACAGGAGUUGGUGUUGAUGGUGAGUAAACACAGGAGAUGGUGUUUGAUGAGUAAACACAGGAGAUGGUGUUGAUGAGUAAACACAGGAGAUGGUGUGUAGUAGGAUGGUUGAGUAAACACAGAGAUGGUGUUGAUGUUGAGUAAACACAGGAGUUGGUGUUGAUGUUGAGUAAACACAGGAGAUGGUGUUGAUGAGUAACACAG